This 71-nucleotide transfer RNA is filed under the name Stegodyphus mimosarum. It matches the Rfam family "tRNA". From Rfam's summary of the family: Transfer RNA (tRNA) molecules are approximately 80 nucleotides in length. Their secondary structure includes four short double-helical elements and three loops (D, anti-codon, and T loops). Further hydrogen bonds mediate the characteristic L-shaped molecular structure. tRNAs have two regions of fundamental functional importance: the anti-codon, which is responsible for specific mRNA codon recognition, and the 3' end, to which the tRNAs corresponding amino acid is attached (by aminoacyl-tRNA synthetases). tRNAs cope with the degeneracy of the genetic code in two manners: having more than one tRNA (with a specific anti-codon) for a particular amino acid; and 'wobble' base-pairing, i.e. permitting non-standard base-pairing at the 3rd anti-codon position. The record is from Rfam by way of RNAcentral. Lineage: Eukaryota; Metazoa; Arthropoda; Arachnida; Araneae; Eresidae.
GUCUUCAUGGUGUAACGGUAGCACACUCGGCGCGUAUUCGAGAGGUCCAGGUUCGAGCCCCGGCGAGGGCU